AAGCCCUAGAGCUGUGAGUACCGAUCUCUUAAGGCUGCCACCUGGAAGACGUGACUUUCUGUUGUGAAAUCUUCCUUCUUCUUUAGCACCUGAAGAAAACAGAGACAUUCCACGGGCCCGGACUGGGUGCUGAAAUAGAGUGGAAAGGAAACUAGGCAGAUAGGGCGCUAACCUCACACAGCCUGCAGUCUAGCCGGAAAGACAGACAUUGACUACAGCCCAUGAAUGCACAGUGACAAGGAGGUUAGAUGCUCUCUCAGAGGCAAAAGCUCAUGAGAACAUAUGACAGUUAAAUUUGAACAGUUAAACCUUUGGGGCGGGGAACUAGAAAGGCCAUAUCUUGCGGAAGUGGUGUCUGAGUUCUUAUCCGAAGUUGGUACGAGUGAAAAAAGUAAAACUAGGUGAAGGAUGGGGCAGGAAGUUGCAGGCAAAAGGAGCUGCUUGCGCAAGGCCCCUGUGUCGGGAGUAUAAUGAGAACAGCAUGCCAACCUCCCAGGGCUGUGGGAGGAUUCCUGUGCAUUCAUACAUGUCAGUGUCUCUUCACCACCACGAGGGGGCAGCACUGCCUGAUGUGGCUGGGGAGGUGGGCAUGGCCAGAGCACACCAGUUUUGUAGCUGCUUCUGCUAGGUGUGGAAUGCCUCCAGAUGGUUUCAAAAGUACCACAGUGACCUGAUUCGAUUUUUAUUUGCUUUUGAAAGUUUACUCCCUUAAAAAUAUAAAUGCGUGAAGAAUGAAUUGGAGAAGAAUGGGUAUGUGCAAAUCAGAUGAGGUCAGUGAAGAAGUCUGGAUCAGAGAUGUGUCUGGCUUAGAGGCUCCUGGGUAUUGCCAGUAUAUGUUGAUUUCAACCCUCACGAGUUCUUGCAUUUCAAGAACCUGUAAUAGCACAGAUAAGGAAAACCUCAAAUUUUAUAUGUAGCUAUUUCCAUUCUUAUUGGAAAUCCAAACAUAUCAACCAGUAAUUCCAAGGAUAGUUCCUUUCCUUAAUAAAUUUUCUUUCUGUGAAAAGGAUUUGCUUCAUUUUGCUUUUAGCAGCCAGAGUAGCCCUGAUAUAUUUCAAAUAGGAGUUGAUGUGCCGCACACCCAAGUUUCUGUUAACAUAGGCUGUGCAUUCAACAACGUGACUCUUACAGGCUGCAAAGUAUAGAAAGCAUGCAUGUAGGGCCCACCCGGCAUGGUCACUGGCGUGGGCUAUGCCUGCGCCUUCGCUCAUGUCCAUGUUGGCUGCCCGACUGCUGCAGUCUGUGCACAGAUGCUCCCUCCACCCUCGCCCCUUCCACCUCGUGGCAGUUCGAAAUGAAGCCGUGGUCAUUUCUAGAAGGAAACUGGCCCAGCAGAUCAACCAGGAAGGACAGCAGGAGGUGGAAGAGUGGGUGGCCUCAGGCAAUAAGCGGCCACACCUGAGCAUGAUCCUCUUUGUCCAGAAUCCUGCAAUCACUCCUAUGUCCUCAACAAAACCAGAGCAGCAGCAGAUGUGGGAAUCAACAGGGAGACAGUUGUGAAACCGGCUUCAAUUUCAGAGGAAGAAUUGUUGAAUUUAAUCAAUAAACUGAAUAAUGAUGAUAACAUAGAUGGCCUCCUUGUUCAACUGCCUCUUCCAGAGCAUAUUGACGAGAGAAAGAUCUGCAGUGCUGUUUCUCCAGACAAGGAUGUUGAUGUCAUGUAAUUAAUGUAGGGCAAAUGUGUUUGGACCAGGAUUCCAUGUUACCGGCUACUCCAUGGGGUGUGUGGGAAAUAAUCAAGCGAACUGGCAUUCCAACCCAGCUGGAAGAAUGUGCUUGGCUGGAGGGUUAAAAAAUGUUGGAAUGCCCAUUGCAAUGUUACUGCACACAGACAGGGCACAUGAACAUCCCAGAGGUGAUGCCACUGUUACAAUAUCUCAUCGAUAUACUCCCAAACAGCAGUUGAAGAAGCAUACAAUUCUUGCAGAUAUUGUAAUAUCCGCUGCAGGCAUUCCAAAUCUGAUCACAGCAGAUAUGAUCAAGGAAGGAGCAGCAGUUAUUGAUGUGGGAAUAAAUAGAGUUCACGAUCCCAUAACUGCCAAACCCAAGUUGGUUGGAGAUGUGGAUUUUGAAGGAGUCAGACAAAAAGCUGGUUAUAUCACUCCAGUUCCUGGACUUGUUGUCCCCAUGACAGUGGCAAUGCUAAUGAAGAAUACCAUUAUUGCUGCAAAAAAGGUGCUGAGGCUUGAAGAGUGAGAAGUGGUGAAGCCUAAAGAGGUUGGAGUAGCCAGUAAUUAACUAUUGUGACUUAUGUGUCACGGACAACACUCCAAGCCAGCUUAAGAAGCAAAGCAGGCCAAUAGAAAUGCAAUAUUUUUAGUUUAUUCCACUGAAAUUGUUUAAAAUGAUGCUUUGUAUUUAUUAAAAGCUUAAAUGGGUGG
Molecule: RNA transcript, 2381 nt
Organism: Cebus imitator (Panamanian white-faced capuchin)
Lineage: Eukaryota; Metazoa; Chordata; Mammalia; Primates; Cebidae
Gene name: bifunctional methylenetetrahydrofolate dehydrogenase/cyclohydrolase, mitochondrial-like
Exons: 1
Source: RefSeq, a predicted model, not a curated record